RNAcentral lists this ribosomal RNA (950 nucleotides) under Pantoea agglomerans. RNAcentral's name for it is "bacterial SSU rRNA". It matches the Rfam family "Bacterial small subunit ribosomal RNA", at positions 85 to 1032 of the family's 1533-position model. Lineage: Bacteria; Pseudomonadati; Pseudomonadota; Gammaproteobacteria; Enterobacterales; Erwiniaceae. The record is from RNAcentral.
UUGCCGUCGAGCGGCGGACGGGUGAGUAAUGUCUGGGAAACUGCUGAUGGAGGGGGAUAACUACUGGAAACGGUAGCUAAUACCGCAUAACGUCGCAAGACCAAAGAGGGGGACCUUCGGGCCUCUUGCCAUCAGAUGUGCCCAGAUGGGAUUAGCUAGUAGGUGGGGUAACGGCUCACCUAGGCGACGAUCCCUAGCUGGUCUGAGAGGAUGACCAGCCACACUGGAACUGAGACACGGUCCAGACUCCUACGGGAGGCAGCAGUGGGGAAUAUUGCACAAUGGGCGCAAGCCUGAUGCAGCCAUGCCGCGUGUAUGAAGAAGGCCUUCGGGUUGUAAAGUACUUUCAGCGGGGAGGAAGGCGUUGUGGUUAAUAACCACAGCGAUUGACGUUACCCGCAGAAGAAGCACCGGCUAACUCCGUGCCAGCAGCCGCGGUAAUACGGAGGGUGCAAGCGUUAAUCGGAAUUACUGGGCGUAAAGCGCACGCAGGCGGUCUGUCAAGUCGGAUGUGAAAUCCCCGGGCUCAACCUGGGAACUGCAUUCGAAACUGGCAGGCUAGAGUCUUGUAGAGGGGGGUAGAAUUCCAGGUGUAGCGGUGAAAUGCGUAGAGAUCUGGAGGAAUACCGGUGGCGAAGGCGGCCCCCUGGACAAAGACUGACGCUCAGGUGCGAAAGCGUGGGGAGCAAACAGGAUUAGAUACCCUGGUAGUCCACGCCGUAAACGAUGUCGACUUGGAGGUUGUGCCCUUGAGGCGUGGCUUCCGGAGCUAACGCGUUAAGUCGACCGCCUGGGGAGUACGGCCGCAAGGUUAAAACUCAAAUGAAUUGACGGGGGCCCGCACAAGCGGUGGAGCAUGUGGUUUAAUUCGAUGCAACGCGAAGAACCUUACCUACUCUUGACAUCCAGAGAACUUACCAGAGAUGGAUUGGUGCCUUCGGGAACUCUGA